This 495-nucleotide ribosomal RNA is filed under the name uncultured bacterium. RNAcentral's name for it is "partial 16S ribosomal RNA". It matches the Rfam family "Bacterial small subunit ribosomal RNA", at positions 28 to 507 of the family's 1533-position model. The record is from RNAcentral.
GACGAACGCUGGCGGCGUGCCUAAUACAUGCAAGUAGAACGCUGAAGGAGGAGCUUGCUUCUCUGGAUGAGUUGCGAACGGGUGAGUAACGCGUAGGUAACCUGCCUGGUAGCGGGGGAUAACUAUUGGAAACGAUAGCUAAUACCGCAUAAGAGUAGAUGUUGCAUGACAUUUGCUUAAAAGGUGCAAUUGCAUCACUACCAGAUGGACCUGCGUUGUAUUAGCUAGUUGGUGAGGUAACGGCUCACCAAGGCGACGAUACAUAGCCGACCUGAGAGGGUGAUCGGCCACACUGGGACUGAGACACGGCCCAGACUCCUACGGGAGGCAGCAGUAGGGAAUCUUCGGCAAUGGACGGAAGUCUGACCGAGCAACGCCGAGUGAGGGAAGAAGGUUGUCGGAUCGUAAAGCUCUGUUGUAAGAGAAGAACGAGUGUGAGAGUGGAAAGUUCACACUGUGACGGUAUCUUACCAGAAAGGGACGGCUAACUACGUG